CUUCAGUGAUGAUACGAUGACGAGUCAGAAAGGGCCGCCAUUUUGCUUGGAGUAAACUGCUCAGUGCCAUGUUCUGUGAUGCUGUGCUUGGUUGCUCUGGCAGAGGUGUCCUGUUCAUUGGAUGAUCUAGAGGCAUUUGUCUGAGAAGG
Molecule: small nucleolar RNA, 149 nt
Organism: Rhineura floridana
Lineage: Eukaryota; Metazoa; Chordata; Lepidosauria; Squamata; Rhineuridae
Source: RefSeq, a predicted model, not a curated record